GACGAACGCUGGCGGCGUGCCUAAUACAUGCAAGUCGAGCGAACCAAUAGGAGCUUGCUCCUGUUGGUUAGCGGCGGACGGGUGAGUAACGCGUGAGCAACCUGCCUGUAAGACCGGGAUAACACCGGGAAACCGGUGCUAAUACCGGAUAAUCCUUUUCCUCUCAUGAGGAAAAACUGAAAGUCGGUUUCGGCUGACACUUACAGAUGGGCCCGCGGCGCAUUAGCUAGUUGGUGAGGUAACGGCUCACCAAGGCGACGAUGCGUAGCCGACCUGAGAGGGUGAUCGGCCACACUGGGACUGAGACACGGCCCAGACUCCUACGGGAGGCAGCAGUAGGGAAUCUUCCACAAUGGACGAAAGUCUGAUGGAGCAACGCCGCGUGAGCGAUGAAGGCCUUCGGGUCGUAAAGCUCUGUUGUUAGGGAAGAACAAGUACCGGAGUAACUGCCGGUGCCUUGACGGUACCUAACCAGAAAGCCACGGCUAACUACGUGCCAGCAGCCGCGGUAA
RNAcentral lists this ribosomal RNA (512 nucleotides) under uncultured bacterium. RNAcentral describes it as "partial 16S ribosomal RNA". It matches the Rfam family "Bacterial small subunit ribosomal RNA", at positions 28 to 523 of the family's 1533-position model. The record is from RNAcentral.